AUUGAACGCUGGCGGCAGGCCUAACACAUGCAAGUCGAGCGAGAGGCGGACGGGUGAGUAAUGUAUGGGGACUGCCCGCUAGAGGGGGAUAACUACUGGAAACGGUAGCUAAUACCGCAUACUAUCGGAUAACCCAUAUGGGAUUAGCUAGUGGGUGAGGUAAUGGCCCACCAAGUGGACGAUCCCUACCUGGUCUGAGAGGAUGAUCAGCCACACUGGGACUGAGACACGGUCCAGACUCCUACGGAGGCAGCAGUGGGGAAUAUUGCACAAUGGGCGCAAGCCUGAUGCAGCCAUGCCGCGGGUAUGAAGAAGGCCCUCGGGUUGUAAAGUACUUUCAGUCGGGAGGCGUUACCGACAGAAGAAGCACCGGCUAACUCCGUGCCAGCAGCCGCGGUAAUUC
This 403-nucleotide ribosomal RNA is filed under the name uncultured bacterium. RNAcentral's name for it is "partial 16S ribosomal RNA". It matches the Rfam family "Bacterial small subunit ribosomal RNA", at positions 30 to 526 of the family's 1533-position model. The record is from RNAcentral.